This 460-nucleotide ribosomal RNA is filed under the name uncultured bacterium. RNAcentral's name for it is "partial 16S ribosomal RNA". It matches the Rfam family "Bacterial small subunit ribosomal RNA", at positions 338 to 795 of the family's 1533-position model. The record is from RNAcentral.
CCUACGGGAGGCAGCAGUGAGGAAUAUUGGUCAAUGGACGCAAGCCUGAACCAGCCAAGUAGCGUGAAGGAAGACGGCCCUAUGAGUUGUAAACUGCUUUUGUAAGAGGGUAAAGGGAGACACGCGUGCCUGUUUGAAAGUACCGUACGAAUAAGGAUCGGCUAACUCCGUGCCAGCAGCCGCGGUAAUACGGAGGAUUCCAGCGUUAUCCGGAUUUCUUGGGUUUAAAGGGGGCGUAGGCGGUCGGUUAAGUUAGUUGUGAAAGCCCGAGGCUCAACUUAGGAAUUGCCUGUGAUACUGUCCGUCUUGAGUGUAGUUGCGGUAGGCGGAAUUCGUGGUGUAGCGGUGAAAUGCUUAGAUAUCACGCAGAACUCCGAUUGCGACGGCAGCUUACCAAGCUGCUUCUGACGUUGAUGCUCGACAGCGUGGGUAUCAAACAGGAUUAGAUACCCGGGUAGUC